Long non-coding RNA from Armigeres subalbatus, 530 nucleotides. RefSeq lists it as uncharacterized. Lineage: Eukaryota; Metazoa; Arthropoda; Insecta; Diptera; Culicidae. The record is from RefSeq and is a predicted model, not a curated record. The transcript has 3 exons.
AAAAGUGGCGACGAGCAGAAGAACAUAACGCGUGUGCAAAAAGUGACUAAAAACCCACUAGUUUAUUGAUUGCGACGGUGCAAAUUGGAAGCGAAUAAUCAUCGGAAACUACCAACCGCGCACAUCGUUGGUGUAGCCAUUGUGUGCUGAACUAUCUCCUAACGCCGGCGAGAAUUAAGAUAUUGAGUUUAUUCUACAACCAAUCAUCCGAAACCCGCAGACGUCGCUGAAUCGUUUUUUUAAGCAGCGUGCUAAGCAUCGAGCCUCGUUCCGGUAUUUCAGGCAAAAGGGCUCAACGGAGUCGGAUAGCUGGAUUCGAGAUAAUUCUCUCCAUCCGCUGAGGAAUUCAGUCCCUUUGGUUUUCACGGAAAUUUAGUGGUGUUCGACGGAAUCUAAAAGCAAGCCGCAGACUGGUUAAUUGUAUUUCAGGAUAUGCGUUGGAAACGUGGUGAUAAUGGCGCAAAGAUCACAGGUCAGGAUCUCUAAAUCAACAACUCAAUGGCGAGCGCCGAAUGUUUUGAUUACGAGGG